Molecule: ribosomal RNA, 447 nt
Filed under: uncultured bacterium
Lineage: Bacteria
Description: bacterial SSU rRNA
Rfam family: Bacterial small subunit ribosomal RNA
Source: RNAcentral
CGCCAGACUCCUACGGGAGGCAGCAGUGGGGAAUAUUGCACAAUGGGGGGAACCCUGAUGCAGCGACGCCGCGUGGGUGAAGGAGUACUUCGGUACGUAAAGCCCUAUCAGCAGGAAAGAAAAUGACGGUACCCAAGGAAUAAGCCCCGGCUAACUACGUGCCAGCAGCCGCGGUAAUACGUAGGGGGCAAGCGUUGUUCGGAAUGACUGGGCGUAAAGGGUGCGUAGGCGGUGUAGCAAGUUAGAAGUGAAAUACCUAGAGCUUAACUCAGGUGCUGCUUCUAAAACUGCUAUACUUGAGUGCAGUAGAGGAAAGUGGAAUUCCUAGUGUAGCGGUGGAAUGCGUAGAUAUUAGGAGGAGCAUCAGUGGCGAAGGCGACUUUCUGGACUGUAACUGACGCUGAGGCACGAAAGUGUGGGGAGCAAACAGGAUUAGAUACCCCGGUA